RNAcentral lists this ribosomal RNA (467 nucleotides) under uncultured bacterium. RNAcentral's name for it is "partial 16S ribosomal RNA". It matches the Rfam family "Bacterial small subunit ribosomal RNA", at positions 28 to 506 of the family's 1533-position model. The record is from RNAcentral.
GACGAACGCUGGCGGCGUGCUUAACACAUGCAAGUCGAACGGAAAGGCCCUGCUUUUGUGGGGUGCUCGAGUGGCGAACGGGUGAGUAACACGUGAGUAACCUGCCCUUGACUUUGGGAUAACUUCAGGAAACUGGGGCUAAUACCGGAUAGGAGCUCCUGCUGCAUGGUGGGGGUUGGAAAGUUUCGGCGGUUGGGGAUGGACUCGCGGCUUAUCAGCUUGUUGGUGGGGUAGUGGCUUACCAAGGCUUUGACGGGUAGCCGGCCUGAGAGGGUGACCGGCCACAUGGGGACUGAGAUACGGCCCAGACUCCUACGGGAGGCAGCAGUGGGGAAUAUUGCACAAUGGGCGGAAGCCUGAUGCAGCAACGCCGCGUGCGGGAUGACGGCCUUCGGGUUGUAAACCGCUUUCGCCUGGGACGAAGCGUGAGUGACGGUAAUGGGUAAAGAAGCACCGGCUAACUACGU